RNAcentral lists this ribosomal RNA (483 nucleotides) under uncultured bacterium. RNAcentral's name for it is "partial 16S ribosomal RNA". It matches the Rfam family "Bacterial small subunit ribosomal RNA", at positions 28 to 507 of the family's 1533-position model. The record is from RNAcentral.
GACGAACGCUGGCGGCGUGCUUAACACAUGCAAGUCGAACGCUGAAGCUCAGCUUUUGUUGGGUGGAUGAGUAGCGAACGGGUGAGUAACACGUGAGUAACCUGCCUCCUUCUUUGGGAUAACGCCCGGAAACGGGUGCUAAUACUGGAUAUUCACUGGUCUUCGCAUGGGGGUUGGUGGAAAGGGUUUUUCUGGUGGGGGAUGGGCUCGCGGCCUAUCAGCUUGUUGGUGGGGUGAUGGCCUACCAAGGCUUUGACGGGUAGCCGGCCUGAGAGGGUGACCGGUCACAUUGGGACUGAGAUACGGCCCAGACUCCUACGGGGGGCAGCAGUGGGGAAUAUUGCACAAUGGGCGCAAGCCUGAUGCAGCGACGCCGCGUGAGGGAUGGAGGCCUUCGGGUUGUGAACCUCUUUCGCUCAUGGUCAAGCCGCAACAAUGGUUGUGGUGAGGGUAGUGGGUAAAGAAGCGCCGGCUAACUACGUG